UACGGAGGAUCCAAGCGUUAUCCGGAUUUACUGGGUUUAAAGGGUGCGUAGGCGGAUUGAUAAGUUAGAGGUGAAAUGUCCGAGCUCAACUCGGGAACUGCCUCUAAUACUGUUGAUCUAGAGAGUAGAUGCGGUAGGCGGAAUGUAUGGUGUAGCGGUGAAAUGCUUAGAGAUCAUACAGAACACCGAUUGCGAAGGCAGCUUACCAAUCUAUAUCUGACGUUGAGGCACGAAAGCGUGGGGAGCAAACAGG
RNAcentral lists this ribosomal RNA (253 nucleotides) under uncultured bacterium. RNAcentral describes it as "partial 16S ribosomal RNA". It matches the Rfam family "Bacterial small subunit ribosomal RNA", at positions 524 to 776 of the family's 1533-position model. The record is from RNAcentral.